GAUAUGGCUCAGGAUGAACGCUAGCUACAGGCUUAACACAUGCAAGUCGAGGGGCAGCAUUUUUCUAGCAAUAGAAGAGAUGGCGACCGGCGCACGGGUGAGUAACACGUAUCCAACCUACCGAUAACUCUGGAAUAGCCUUUCGAAAGAAAGAUUAAUACCGGAUAGUAUACGAAUAUCGCAUGAUAUUUUUAUUUAAAGAAUUUCGGUUAUCGAUGGGGAUGCGUUCCAUUAGUUUGUUGGCGGGG
This 248-nucleotide ribosomal RNA is filed under the name uncultured bacterium. RNAcentral's name for it is "partial 16S ribosomal RNA". It matches the Rfam family "Bacterial small subunit ribosomal RNA", at positions 15 to 257 of the family's 1533-position model. The record is from RNAcentral.